This 2344-nucleotide long non-coding RNA is filed under the name Homo sapiens (human). RNAcentral's name for it is "non-protein coding LINC01159:12". Lineage: Eukaryota; Metazoa; Chordata; Mammalia; Primates; Hominidae. The record is from RNAcentral.
AGAGCGAGUGCGUCCCCACCAGCCUGGCCGCCGCGGGAACUCGGGGACCGGGAGGGCGGGGGUUAGCGGGAGGAAAGGGGCACCAAGAGGCACCCUGAGAACUCAGAGGACCCAGAGGCUCCCCUCAAGCAAAUUCCCUGCUGACCCUGGACACCCCUUGAAGGAGGGGGCAAGAGGCUGCCACAAGGCUCAUCUUAUAACUCCCAGCAAGGACUCCCAGCAAACAAGUUCAGCUUGGGAUCUGCCCACCACCAAGCCUGGCUGGGAGGUGGGGGGGAGCGAGGGGCGGUGGAGAGGCAGAGUCCCUGAACAGGGAAAAGACAAUCAGUUGUUCCCCUUUCUGGUGUCAGAGGCAAAGAAGCCUGAAGGGCUGGUGGUGGUGCUGGCUCUGGGUUUAUUGACUCUGUGAUCCUGUCCAGCUGUCCUACAGGGAGUUCCAGAGCUCUCCCAAAGUGCAUGAGGAACUGCACAAGUAGGACUGGGGCACAAUACCAGAAGCUAUUUGUCUCCUAGAACCUGGCACCCCCUCCACUUACCUUACAGGAGACCCACAUCACUCAGUUCCCAGGACACCUGGUGGGAGAGUCUGGUGAGAUUUGGAGGCAGACUUCCUCUACUCACAACUUGUUUGAAAAUGGACAUAAAGAGAAGAACAGACACUCCAUCGCCCCUUCAGGGCCUCCUUUGUGUCACAAAACCUAUCCCCUCCUAGGGCACCCUUGACAUUCCCCUAGGUGGGCCUACACAUUGUUCAGAACCUGUCCCCUGUACCAAAAUAAAUAUAAAUGAGUUUGUUUCUUUAAAAGAAAUAUUACAGCUUUAAACUUUUCCCAGCCGGAAUCCACCUAAUUUCAUCAAGGUCUCUCGCUAGCAGCCAUAACCCAGGCCAAAAGGGCUUGUCCCUAGGGAGGCACCAAAGGGAGAAUACCCCAGGCCCAUUUCAUUCCACUGAGGUUUUUGAACCCCUAGGUGUCUAAGGUAAUACCACCACCAUCCCCACCUGUUUUCAGUUCUUUCUUUGUGGCUUAAGAUUGCAUUUUUGGAGGGUUUAUGUAAUGUUGUUCACGUCAGCAAGUCUCCCUGCCCCACCCUCACCCCACUGUCCUAUAUGGAAUUAUAGUUGGAAACCACACACACAUAGAAAAUCUUUGAAGAUUUUUUUCUGCUAUUCUUCCUGACUAGAAGAGUUGACAAGACAUAGACACAUUCAGUUGCAUAAAAUACAGUAGCGUGAUCAGCCUAAAUGCAUCUCAUUUGCACUGUUUGUAACCAGGGGUGGGGGCUUGUGUCACUCAUUGCCUCCCCCUCCUCUGCCCAAACCAGACCCGCCAGCUGGAAUUUCAGAGCAGGCCCCAAGGCAGCAGCCAUUUGGGAAGUGGAAGCCCUAGCCCACCCCAGUCCAGCAGGGGUGCGGGGUGGAUAGAGAAGGUGUCUGGAGGUCUGGCCUGAGGGCUUGGACCAACUUUGGCAGACCUGGGCUCUGGGAGGCUUGGCCGGUGGGUGACCACAGCUGGAAGUUGGAGGUCUGCAGCGAUGCUUCUGAGCUUCUCCUGAGUUGAGUUCAAGAAAGGGGACACCAAGAAGUAGGGGAACAGUCACUGACUAUAUUUUACAUCCACGCCUACCCCUUUCCCAGAGUUGUGUUCUCACCACCCACUUUGUCGGCGGAGGAGAAACACUGCUGCCUGAUGCUUGCACUGCUGCACUGUUCUUGCACCUGCUCCUAGCCCUGAACUCGGGCCCUGAGCUCCUCACUGCCGCCCGCUCUGCGCUGAGCCCCACUCCUGAGACCGCGAGGUGCCAGAGCAGCGCCUCUCCCACCAACUCCUAGACGCCUGUAGGAGCUGCGCCGGAGCCUUCAGAACCCCAUGGGGGUGUGGGGGUGAAGUUGGAGGUCAUCCGGGUGAUUUUUUUCUUACUUUUUCCUAAUUGUUCUCCUGCGUUGAUUUCAACUCUUCCAGUCUCCCGGUGCUGGGGCGCCAAUCCUUUCCCAACAAUUCCUACCCACCAGCUGGAGGUCGGGGCCCAGGGUUACCCCAGAGUUCUAUGGUGGCAGGGGGCGCCGAGUAGAGGGGCGGGAGGAGCUGGGUCCUCGGGAACCAAAGGGGACCUCAGCGGGGGCGGAGUGCGCAGCCUUGGCUGCUGGGAAAUGCCCAACUAGCCGCUGUGAGUGCCCACAGCGCGUCGUGGGGGCGUCCGUUCUGCAGCUCGGGUGACUCAGACGCCCUGCCAACCCCACCAGCUCCCGGCUUCUCGAACGCUCUUCUGAUCGCCCAGCGGGGAGACUUCAGGGCCUGCCUCGUCAGGCCAGAUUGCAGCCCGCGACCUUCCCGGAUUAACCAAG